RNAcentral lists this ribosomal RNA (449 nucleotides) under Onchocerca dewittei dewittei. RNAcentral describes it as "partial small subunit ribosomal RNA". The record is from RNAcentral. Lineage: Eukaryota; Metazoa; Nematoda; Chromadorea; Rhabditida; Onchocercidae.
GGCUAUGCGUUUUAAUUUUUAACUCUAUUUAUUGUGAUGUCCUAAUGUUUUUGAUUUAUUUUUUAAGUUAUUUUUGUAAAAUGUUUUAAUUUGUUUUUUUUUCUUAGGGUGUUAAAAGUUUGUUUUUUGAACUGGAUUAGUACCCAGGUAAUCAAAAUUAAUUAAUUCGGGAGUAAAGUUUUGUUUAAACCGAAAAAAUAUUGACUGACUUUAGAUUUUUCUUUGGAACAUGUGUUUUUUGGAGAGCCCUCCUUUUUAGUUAUUUUUAUCGGCACAUGUAUGAUUGUUUAGUUUUUAUUUUAUUUUGUAAUGCUUUUUUUGUUUUUUACAUUUAAAACAGAUAUAUAUUUGGCUUAUGAAUUUAUUUUUCAUGUGUUACUAUUAUGAAUUGUUUUGGAUUGAUUUUUUAUUUUUUUUUUGAAAUUGGAAAAGAAAGUAAUUUUUUUUGA